UCCCCGAGAGCUGCCCGCGAGAAGCCUGUGCCCCGGAGAGCGCGGGGAGCGGCGCGGGCGGGAGCGGGGCGCUCAGGGCCAUGCAGCGGCGAAGCUCGGAGCAGCGGUAGCGCCCCCUGUGAGCCGCCAGGAGAUGCCCCGGCCACUGUGAGCCGCGCGCCGGCUGGGCUUGGACACGCUCCGCCGCCGCAGACACAGUCCACUCCACGCACCGGUGACCCAGCACACGCAGCGCAAGACACACCGGGGCGGCGUAGGGACACGUCCUCUGGCUGACUGGGGCUGGCACUG
This 291-nucleotide non-coding RNA is filed under the name Erinaceus europaeus (western European hedgehog). Its description in RNAcentral is "TrkB IRES". It matches the Rfam family "TrkB IRES". From Rfam's summary of the family: This family represents the TrkB internal ribosome entry site (IRES) which is present in the 5' leader sequence of the mRNA. TrkB is a neurotrophin receptor which is essential for the development and maintenance of the nervous system. Lineage: Eukaryota; Metazoa; Chordata; Mammalia; Eulipotyphla; Erinaceidae. The record is from Rfam by way of RNAcentral.